CCGCAGAGCUAGGGGUGUCGCGCAAGCGACUGAGAUACACCCUUCGAACCUGAUCCGGUUGAUGCCGGCGUAGGGAAGCUGCACCAGCCUGCA
Molecule: non-coding RNA, 93 nt
Filed under: Candidatus Muproteobacteria
Lineage: Bacteria; Pseudomonadati; Pseudomonadota
Description: TPP sequence
Rfam family: TPP riboswitch aptamer (THI element)
About the family: Vitamin B(1) in its active form thiamin pyrophosphate (TPP) is an essential coenzyme that is synthesised by coupling of pyrimidine and thiazole moieties in bacteria.
Source: RNAcentral